Molecule: non-coding RNA, 72 nt
Organism: Xylariales sp. No.14919
Lineage: Eukaryota; Fungi; Ascomycota; Sordariomycetes; Xylariales
Source: the annotation of a GenBank genome assembly
GCCCGAUUGACGCAGUGGUAGCGUGCCGUUCUUAUAAUGCGGAAGCCGUGAGUUCGACCCUCACAUUGGGCA